This 245-nucleotide small RNA is filed under the name Arabidopsis thaliana (thale cress). Its description in RNAcentral is "ATSL007160". The record is from RNAcentral. Lineage: Eukaryota; Viridiplantae; Streptophyta; Magnoliopsida; Brassicales; Brassicaceae.
AUAUAUAGAGUUUAAAAAAAUCUUAAUUUUUUCCGUCAUAUUUUGUGAUUCAACGUCCCGCAUCGACAAAAAUAUAUAGACAAUGAUUUAUAAACAUAUCAUAAAUAAGAUCAACAUUAAUAUAAAUAAAUGGUUUUUUUACGGGACGGGUUUGGCGGGACGGGUUUGGCAAGACGUUACUUAAUAACAAUUGUAAACUAUAAAAUAAAAAUAUAUUAUAGAUAGAUACAAUUUGCAAAAAAAAA